This 72-nucleotide antisense RNA is filed under the name Streptomyces alboflavus. RNAcentral describes it as "ASpks TB sRNA". It matches the Rfam family "ASpks TB sRNA". Lineage: Bacteria; Bacillati; Actinomycetota; Actinomycetes; Kitasatosporales; Streptomycetaceae. The record is from Rfam by way of RNAcentral.
CUUGACCGAGCCGAGCCACAGGGGCUCGCCCUCGCGGUCCUGUCCGUACGUGGCGAGCAGCGCCUGGGCCUC